RNAcentral lists this ribosomal RNA (1200 nucleotides) under uncultured organism. Its description in RNAcentral is "bacterial SSU rRNA". It matches the Rfam family "Bacterial small subunit ribosomal RNA", at positions 157 to 1358 of the family's 1533-position model. The record is from RNAcentral.
UUCGGAUUAAUACUCCAUAAAGCCAUGAUUUGGCAUCAUUUCAUGGUUAAAGCUCCGGCGGUUAGAGAUGGGCAUGCGUGACAUUAGUUAGUUGGUGAGGUAACGGCUCACCAAGACAACGAUGUCUAGGGGGUCUGAGAGGAUGGUCCCCCACACUGGUACUGAGACACGGACCAGACUCCUGCGGGAGGCAGCAGUGAGGAAUAUUGGUCAAUGGGCGCAAGCCUGAACCAGCCAUGCCGCGUGAAGGAUGACAGCCCUAUGGGUUGUAAACUUCUUUUGUACGGGAAGAAACACUUCUACGUGUAGAAGCUUGACGGUACCGUACGAAUAAGCAUCGGCUAACUCCGUGCCAGCAGCCGCGGUAAUACGGAGGAUGCAAGCGUUAUCCGGAUUCAUUGGGUUUAAAGGGUACGUAGGCGGGAGAUUACGUCAGUGGUGAAAUCCUGCAGCUUAACUGUGGAACUGUCAUUGAUACUGGUCUUCUUGAAUAUAGUUAAAGUAGGCGGAAUGUGUAAUGAACCGGUGAAAUGCUUAGAUAUUACACAGAACACCGAUUUGCGAAGGCAGCUUUACUAAACUAUGAUUGACGCUGAGGUACGAAAGCGUGGGGAGCGAACAGGAUUAGAUACCCUGGUAGUCCACGCUGUAAACGAUGAUCACUCGUUGUCGGCGACAUAUUGUCAGCGACUGAGCGAAAGCAUUAAGUGAUCCACCUGGGGAGUACGAUCGCAAGAUUGANACUCAAAGGAAUUGACGGGGGCCAGCACAAGCGGAGGAACAUGUGGUUUAAUUCGAUGAUACGCGAGGAACCUUACCUGGGCUUAAAUGUAGAACGACGGAUCGGGAAACUGAUCUUUCUUCGGACAGGUCUGCAAGGUGCUGCAUGGCUGUCGUCAGCUCGUGCCGUGAGGUGUCGGGUUAAGUCCCAUAACGAGCGCAACCCUCAUCAUUAGUUGCCAGCGGCUAAUGCCGGGGACUCUAAUGAAACUGCCGGUCUCAACCGAGAGGAAGGUGGGGAUGACGUCAAGUCAGCACGGCCCUUAUGUCCAGGGCUACACACGUGUUACAAUGGUCGAUACAAAGGGCAGCUACCUGGUGACAGGAUGCUAAUCUCGAAAAUCGAUCUUAGUUCGGAUCGAAGUCUGCAACUCGACUUCGUGAAGCUGGAUUCGCUAGUAAUCGCGCAUCACCCACGGC